This is an RNA transcript of Hemibagrus wyckioides, 1965 nucleotides long. RefSeq lists it as uncharacterized. Lineage: Eukaryota; Metazoa; Chordata; Actinopteri; Siluriformes; Bagridae. The record is from RefSeq and is a predicted model, not a curated record. The transcript is spliced from 4 exons.
CAGGGUCGCGGUUUACCCGCACAAUUGGGCUAUUAUGAAAAUCCAGUCGCGGGAAAAAUUACGGAGCCGCGGGUUGCUAUUUUUUUUUUUUUUAUAAUGUAUUGCGGCCGGACAUACACUGUGCAAUUUUUAAUAGUCCUUUGCGAUUGUUGCUUGUCAGACUGUACGAACAUGAUUCCCGUGUCACACUGUAGGAUCUCAGGUGUCAUAAUGUCAGACUGUACGACAGUCAAGACGCGUAAAAAACGGACACACACAAGAAGACGCGUCCGGGGUUUUACGUCAUCAAUCCGUGACACGUUCAGACCCGUGUUUUCUCGCUAAAAUGGUAACUAGCAGCAAACAAAAACAAUCUGUAGCGUUAAUUUUGUUAAUGACAUGCCUUGAAAAUAAAAACAGAAAAAAACGAAGACGACGUGUCUGGAGCAAGUCAUGGCUGGGCAAAAGAGGACGUUAUGGACUUCCAAUUCUACAGAGCGAACUUGAGAGUGAUGACACACAAGGGUUUAGAGAUCUCCUUCACAUGAAUGUACAGGAAUUUGAACAUCUGCUGGAUUUGGUCUCUCCCCACAUAAACAGGACACACACACACAUCUGAGAAGAGCAAUUACUGCUAAGGAGAGACUCUCUGUGACACUUGGCCACAGGAGAAUCAUUUGCCUCACUGUGUUUUCAGUACAGAAUGGGACGGACUACUGUUUCAAGGAUUGUUCAAGAGACAUGUGAGGUGUUGUACCAUGUGCUUAAGGAAAAGUACAUGAAGACUCCAGUGGCAGAAACUGAGUGGAGAGAUGUGGCUAAAGGAUUCCAGGAAAGGUGGAAAUUUCCACAUUGCCUUGGGGCAAUCGAUGGAAAACACAUCACCAUUCUUCCCCCAGGGAACAGCAGGAGCACUUUUAGGAACUACAAGUCCCGUUUUUCUAUCUUGCUGAUGGCAAUUGCUGAUUCGCAGUACAGAUUUUUGUAUGCCAAUGUUGGUACUCAGGGAAGAGUGUCUGAUGGGGGCCUCAUUGCCCACUCCGAUCUUCGAAAGGCAAUGGACCAAAGGGUUUUUAAAUGUUCCUCUGGCUGAACCACUACCAGGCACAAUUAUUGAGAUGCCUUACAUGUUCAUCGCGGAUGAGGCUUACCCUCUUCGCACAGAUUUAAUGAAGCCAUAUCCUUCAAGACACCUUGCUCAUGACCAACGCAUUUACAACUACAGGCUGUCACGGGCAAGACGUGUCAUUGAAAAUUACCUUUGGAAAACUGGCCAACCAAUUCCGAGUAUUUCUCUCUACCAUCCAUCUGGAUCCAGUGGCAGUGACAAAGAUCACCUUGGCUGCUUUUGCCCUUCACAGUUACAUGCGAGAACAUGCCCCGGACACAUACAUCCCUCAAGGAUUUGCCGAUACUGAAGAUACAGAACACCACAUCAUCCCUGGUGAGUGGAGGAAUGACACAGGUCUCCUAUCUGUACCUGUACCUACAUACCGAGCUAGAAAUGGGUGUGCAAUUGCUAAAGAUCAGAGAGACCUUCUAAAGGCAUACUUUAUCUCAACUGCAGGGUCAGUCCCAUGGCAGGAACAAAUGUUGUGAACCAUCCACACAGUUCCACACAUUUGCAGUACAUAAAUCACAAGCACAAAGUUACAGUAUAUGUAGUUGCAAACAAUUUUUAUUUUUGUCAGCAUCUUUUUAAUGCAUAGUUCACCCAAAAAUGAAAUUUUAUCAUCAUUUGCUCACCCUCAUGUUAGUCCAAACCUGUAUGAGUUUGUUUCUUCUGUUGCUAAAGAAGAUAUACUAAAGAAUUUUGGUAACCAGGCAGUUGACGGCAGCCAUCGACUUCCAUAGUAGGAAAACAAAUGUUUUUUUUUGUUUUUGAGCUGAUAAAAGUUAAAAAUCACUCUUUGUAAAAUAGUUAAUUUUACUCAAUUUUAAAACCCAAUUUUAUUUAUAUUCCAGUGUUUUACUGCUAAGGUGUCA